Molecule: ribosomal RNA, 422 nt
Filed under: uncultured bacterium
Lineage: Bacteria
Description: partial 16S ribosomal RNA
Rfam family: Bacterial small subunit ribosomal RNA
Source: RNAcentral
AAUAUUGGACAAUGGGUGUAAUCCUGAUCCAGCCAUGCCGCGUGUGGGAAGAAGAUCUUCGGAUGGUAAAGCACUUUAAGUAGGGAGGAAGGGCUUUAGGCUAAUACCCGGAAGUUUUGACGAUACCAACAGUAUAAGCACUGGCUAACUCUGUGCCAUCAGCCGCGGUAAUACAGAGGGUGCAAUCGUUAACCGGAAUUACUGGGCGUAAAGCGCGCGUAGGUGGUUCAGUAAGAUGUGUGUGAAAGCCCCGGGCUUAACCUGGGAACUGCUUUCAUAACUGCUGAGCUAGAGUACGGUAGAGGGUAGUGGAAUUUCCUGUGUAGCGGUGAAAUGCGUAGAUAUAGGAAGGAACACCAGUGGCGAAGGCGACUACCUGGACUGAUACUGACACUGAGGUGCGAAAGCGUGGGGAGCAAACA